RNAcentral lists this ribosomal RNA (406 nucleotides) under uncultured bacterium. Its description in RNAcentral is "partial 16S ribosomal RNA". It matches the Rfam family "Bacterial small subunit ribosomal RNA", at positions 30 to 526 of the family's 1533-position model. The record is from RNAcentral.
AUUGAACGCUGGCGGCAGGCCUAACACAUGCAAGUCGAACGAGUGGCGGACGGGUGAGUAAUGUCUGGGAACCUGCCAGAUGGAGGGGGAUAACUACUGAAAACGGUAGCUAAUACCGCAUACCUGCGGAUGUGCCACGAUGGGAUUAGCUAGUAGGUGGGGUAAAGGCUCACCUAGGCGACGAUCCCUAACUGGUCGGAGAGGAUGACCAGCCACACUGGAACUGAGACACGGUCCAGACUCCUACGGGAGGCAGCAGUGGGGAAUAUUGCACAAUGGGCGCAAGCCUGAUGCAGCCAGGCCGCGUGUAUGAAGAAGGCCUUCGGGUUGUAAAGUACUUUCAGCGGGGAGGCGUUACCCGCAGAGGAAGCACCGGCUAACUACGUGCCAGCAGCCGCGGUAAUUC